Molecule: non-coding RNA, 79 nt
Filed under: marine eukaryotic metagenome
Description: Glycine riboswitch
Rfam family: Glycine riboswitch aptamer (bases 4-74)
About the family: This family represents the bacterial glycine riboswitch.
Source: RNAcentral
CCAGCGGGAGAGACCGGUUUUUGGCCGGCGCCGAAGGAGCAACAGCCUCGGAAACUCUCAGGCAAAAGGACCGCAAGGG